Molecule: unclassified non-coding RNA, 19 nt
Filed under: Dictyostelium discoideum
Lineage: Eukaryota; Evosea; Eumycetozoa; Dictyosteliales; Dictyosteliaceae
Source: RNAcentral
CAACACUGAUAUAAAUUAA